GCGGGUAUAGCUCAGCUGGGAGAGCGUCAGACUGAAGAUCUGAAGGUCAGGUGUUCGAUCCACUUUAGCCGCA
This is a non-coding RNA of Pilaira anomala, 73 nucleotides long. NCBI's taxonomy places the organism in Eukaryota, Fungi, Mucoromycota, Mucoromycetes, Mucorales, Mucoraceae. The record is from the annotation of a GenBank genome assembly.